RNAcentral lists this ribosomal RNA (459 nucleotides) under Escherichia coli. Its description in RNAcentral is "bacterial SSU rRNA". It matches the Rfam family "Bacterial small subunit ribosomal RNA", at positions 288 to 739 of the family's 1533-position model. Lineage: Bacteria; Pseudomonadati; Pseudomonadota; Gammaproteobacteria; Enterobacterales; Enterobacteriaceae. The record is from RNAcentral.
UGGUCUGAGAGGAUGACCAGCCACACUGGAACUGAGACACGGUCCAGACUCCUACGGGAGGCAGCAGUGGGGAAUAUUGCACAAUGGGCGCAAGCCUGAUGCAGCCAUGCCGCGUGUAUGAAGAAGGCCUUCGGGUUGUAAAGUACUUUCAGCGGGGAGGAAGGGAGUAAAGUUAAUACCUUUGCUCAUUGACGUUACCCGCAGAAGAAGCACCGGCUAACUCCGUGCCAGCAGCCGCGGUAAUACGGAGGGUGCAAGCGUUAAUCGGAAUUACUGGGCGUAAAGCGCACGCAGGCGGUUUGUUAAGUCAGAUGUGAAAUCCCCGGGCUCAACCUGGGAACUGCAUCUGAUACUGGCAAGCUUGAGUCUCGUAGAGGGGGGUAGAAUUCCAGGUGUAGCGGUGAAAUGCGUAGAGAUCUGGAGGAAUACCGGUGGCGAAGGCGGCCCCCUGGACGAAGA